RNAcentral lists this transfer RNA (72 nucleotides) under Candidatus Pacearchaeota archaeon. RNAcentral describes it as "tRNA-Thr". It matches the Rfam family "tRNA". From Rfam's summary of the family: Transfer RNA (tRNA) molecules are approximately 80 nucleotides in length. Their secondary structure includes four short double-helical elements and three loops (D, anti-codon, and T loops). Further hydrogen bonds mediate the characteristic L-shaped molecular structure. tRNAs have two regions of fundamental functional importance: the anti-codon, which is responsible for specific mRNA codon recognition, and the 3' end, to which the tRNAs corresponding amino acid is attached (by aminoacyl-tRNA synthetases). tRNAs cope with the degeneracy of the genetic code in two manners: having more than one tRNA (with a specific anti-codon) for a particular amino acid; and 'wobble' base-pairing, i.e. permitting non-standard base-pairing at the 3rd anti-codon position. The record is from RNAcentral. Lineage: Archaea; Nanobdellati.
GCCUGCGUAGCUCAGCGGUAGAGCAACUGACUUGUAAUCAGUAGGUCGAGGGUUCGAUUCCCUCCGCAGGCU